Molecule: ribosomal RNA, 375 nt
Filed under: uncultured soil bacterium
Lineage: Bacteria
Description: bacterial SSU rRNA
Rfam family: Bacterial small subunit ribosomal RNA
Source: RNAcentral
AGAUUGAACGCUGGCGGCAGGCCUAACACAUGCAAGUCGAGCGGUAGAGAGGUGCUUGCACCUCUUGAGAGCGGCGGACGGGUGAGUAAUGCCUAGGAAUCUGCCUAGGUGGUGGGGGAUAACGUUCGGAAACGGACGCUAAUACCGCAUACGUCCUACGGGAGAAAGGCGGGGACCUUCGGGCCUCGCGCCAUUAGAUGAGCCGUAGGUCGGAUUAGCUAGUUGGUGAGGUAAUGCUCACCAGGCGACGAUCCGUAACUGGUCUGAGAGGAUGUAUCAGUCCACUACGUGGAAACUGAGACCGACCGGUCCAAGACCUCCGUACGGGAGCAGCGAGGUAGGGAAUAGUUGGAACAGUGGGACGAAGCCUGACUC